UCCCCUGGCCGCUGCUCCAGCAGAGGCCGCGGCGAGCAGGCCUGGCCGCCGGGGGGCCACGCUGGCUCCUGCGGGUUCCUGGCCCGUGACCCUGAGGCCACGGCGGAGCCGCCGCUGCCGGAGCGGAGUCCAGGCAGGGCUCGGGGUGCAGCGGGCCGCGGCCGAGCUGCGGUUACCUGCGUCCUGCCGGCGCCUCGGGCCCGGGCCUGCCGCUGCCGCCACCGCCGCGCCGCCGCUUGUAGGCCGUAGGCGGAGCCGCCUCAGCCCGGUCUCGGCGCCCUCUGCCGGGGCCGGGGCCCAGCGGAGCGGCUGCGGGAGGAGGGCUGCAGCGGGCGGGAAGCGGAGCUGCCUUUGCCCUUCACCCCGUGCCCGUCAGGGCCGGGACGGCGGACGGAGGGACAGGCGGCAGGCUGGUGCGGGUGCCCUGCUGGAGCCGCCUGCGCCUCGGCACCGACCUCUGCCCCCUCCACAGCGAACAGAUCUAUCCUGCCGCCCCCACCUCGGGUUUGUCCGUGGUGUUUGUUUUCCGUUAUCGAGUCACAGAAUCGUUUCGUUUGGAAAAGACCUUCUAAGAUCAUCGAGUCCAACCAUGAGCACCGCUGGGCAGGUGUUUGCCUCCCUCACCACCCAUGCUGCCCUCCAGGUCCCGGGGUGGAAGAGCUCGGGAGUCAGUGCGUUCCUACUGCUCAUCCCCUUACGAUUUUAGACACCUCUGACACUACCUUUGCAACACUCGCUGAGGUAUUUUGCCUCUGCGAGCCAGUCUCAGACCUCGGUGCCGAGGGCUGCUCAGGCUCUGCCCACACGGCCAAGGCAGGAAACAGGCUCCCUGGGGUAUGGGCGCAGCAGAUCAGCGAAGCUUCCUGACCGCAGAUUAACUCGAAAGCUUGACCACCAAGACAGUCUAAUCCAAAUCCCAUUGUGGUCUGGGUUUCCCUUGUCCUUAUCUUUCUUACUUCCCUUCACAUUACGUCUCCCUUUUGCUCUACGUCUCCACUGCUGGUGGUAAUCCCUAACGGCUUCUCUUUGGAGCUCAGAAACUAAGGGAAUUCCACCCUUCCUUCUGCCUUCUCCCUGCUUGCGUUCUGCAGUGCACCAACCAUGCCCCUGGGGGUGCUUCUGAACACACCUCUGUACAAAACGCAACCCCACCAGAUUGGCAGCAUCUUGCCCUGAUCUAAAUCUGUACAAGGCUCAGGGUAAUUCUGGCAGUCAGAAGAGCUCCUCAGCUUUAAAGUUCUGCUCCUCACCUCACCUGACACAGACCAAUCCUUCCUUGGAGUGUUAUCAGCAAAUACAGCAAGAGAUCUAACCAGGGAGCUUCUAUUGCAUGGCAGCUGUGCAGUUAGCGUGGAGCAUGUAGAAGGCCACAUUGAGCCAUAAUGCAAAAGGAAAUAGAGGUGGGCAGUGCAGACUGCUCUGGCCAGUGCUGGAGAAGCUAAUAGAAGCCACCCUAACAAGUCAGAGCAUGGAGACCCACCUAAACUAGAAAUACAUAUCUGCCUUGCCAGAGAAAAUCAGUGUUACAUCAGUGGCCAAGCAAGUGGGAGGAAAACACUCAAGAGCUGCACGAGGUGUGUAAGUCACUUAGUAAGAAGAUCUGGAAUGAUCUGUCCCCCAGGAAAGUGUGUCCUUGCAACACUUGCUCUUCAAACUCUGGAUGUUCUCAUCACUGUGUGACCACUCCUUCUCUGCGCCUUGCCUAAUAAUACCCUGUGACAAAGAGUUCACCAUCUGAAAGAUACAUGAAUCUUCAACCUCCUUAGUGACACAUGAUAUGUGUCUAUCUUUUCAAAUCCUAGGCUGGUCCCUAUUUUUAUUAUCAAAUGGAAAGAAGAGUUGAUCUACCUUCCAGAGCUGGUCCAUUUACACACCUUUUAGUCAUGUCUGUUCUUACUUUGUCUUCUAAAAUAAACAG
Molecule: long non-coding RNA, 1918 nt
Organism: Pogoniulus pusillus (Red-fronted tinkerbird)
Lineage: Eukaryota; Metazoa; Chordata; Aves; Piciformes; Lybiidae
Exons: 3
Source: RefSeq, a predicted model, not a curated record